CCAAACCGAAGAAAGCGACUCCCUUGCUACAAAAGUUAUGGGCUUUUUUGGUGCAGUCAUUUUUGUAAUGGUAUGGGAGAAGUUGGCUAAGUGGGUUCUUCUGGCUGACCCGGUCUCUAUCGGUGCUUAGGCGGUUGAAUCAGGAACGUUCGGUGAAACGACCGUCUACAAUAGAACUAUGAUAGCCAGCCUCUAACCUGUGGCAUAUUUAGGGAGCUAAAACAACACGCAUGCGAAGAGCUCGAGAGGCAAAUCAGGUCGUACUGACGUCUCUUUCUAAGAAAAUUUCGACCACAGAUGCAGUUAUUACUAACUCAUGUUACCAAAUAUAUGUGUGUAGUUUAACGAUCGAUGCUGCUGUCCCACAUCGCCCCACCACGGAUUGCCACCAGCAUGACAUGAAGCGGAUCCAACUACCUCAGUCUGAAUAACUAACAUUAAAAGGUCUCCGUAUUCUAAAAGUAAUUUACUAAUUCUAUAAAUAAAGAAUCGUUACUGCACAAUAUUUGGAAUCGUCAAACUGUAUUAGGAUAAC
Molecule: long non-coding RNA, 535 nt
Filed under: Varroa destructor (honeybee mite)
Lineage: Eukaryota; Metazoa; Arthropoda; Arachnida; Mesostigmata; Varroidae
Description: uncharacterized LOC111255450, transcript variant X1
Source: RNAcentral